Non-coding RNA from Phascolarctos cinereus (koala), 4647 nucleotides. The record is from RefSeq and is a predicted model, not a curated record. Lineage: Eukaryota; Metazoa; Chordata; Mammalia; Diprotodontia; Phascolarctidae.
UCUGCAUCUUACUCUUAUUACCAAUUCUGUGCUAGUCCACCCAUUUAUAGGUUUGCACUUAGUACAGAGGUGCAGAAAAUGAUCAUGCAAGGCACUCGGAGGCUAUAGUUUCAUGCAAGAUUUAUUGUAAGGAUAUAUAAGAUCAGGAGACAAACUUAGCUGCUUCAGGGUCUCAAUAUUCUCAAAUCAUGGGCACAGUGUUGUAUUAUUUCAGACAAUGACAGAGAGCUGAGUACAUCUCCUCUACCUAGCAUAGUGCCUAGCAUAUAGGAAGCACUUAAACAUUUGUUGACUGAAUGAUUGUAGAAACUUUCUAAAGAUGGAGUGGUGACUUGAAUUUUUACAUAUGUGGCAUAUGCUACUUAUAAAUAAUGGCUAUGGAGUUGUCCUCCACAAUAAUGAGAAGCUGGAGUACACUCAGAGGGGAGAGGGUCCAGGCUAUAGAGAGGACUAGAAAUGAUACUGCAAGGACUGAAGAAACUGGGUAUGUUUAGUAUGAAAAGGACAUGUUUUGGGGGGAGAGAGGGACAUCAUAAUUUAAUUAUUUAAAGAGCUGCUAUGCAGAAUAAGGAUUAGAUAUUCUAUUUGACCCCAAAGGGCAGAACUAUGAACACUAGAUAUAUAAAAAGAAUCCAAUCUGGGGCUGACGUAAGGCAAAACUUCCUAACAAUUAUAUUUAUUCUAGUUUGGAAUGGGUUGCUUCAAGAAGUAAUGGGCUCCUCUUCAUUGGAAGUCUUUCUGUAAAUCAAUUCAUCUAUGAUUUCAGUUCUGAUUUGGCUAUGUAUAAAUAUUUUAAAUAGGAGAGGAAGUAUGAAAUAGUCCUUUCACAGAGAAAAAAACACCCAAAACUAAAGAAACUUUUUAAGAUGCAAGGAUGAAUUAACGGCAACCAUCAUGUAGUAGAAAGAAUGAUGGUUCAAAUCCUAUCUCAACUAAUUAGGGACUUUCCUAUGUACACCUUUCUCCUAGAGACUUCCCAGUCGGGUUAUCUGUAGGAUACUUCAGCCUAAAUCAUUGAUCUAGGGCAAGGCAAUGAGAGCUCCUUCUCUUCCUUCAUUAGUUCCCAAAUAGGAAAGAAUCUAUCUCUAUUUGAAUCCUGAAGUCAUCAUACUCCUUCUGCUUUCAAGCCUUGUGCUGUCCUGAAACAUAUUUUACUAGUUGAACUAUCCCAAUGGCUUGGCCCAAAAGGCUUUUCUGGGCCUGUGUUCCAAUGCCAUUUACAACAUAUAUUCAGAUCUCAGACUAUACUUUUGUCUUUUCCUCCCUGCAAACCUUUGUAGCACUGCCAUAGCUCCACAUUUGCUAGCAGAAUUGACUGAACCAAAGUAAUAGGCAAAGAGCCAAUGGGCACUGGAAACCUUUCCUUACAAAAAUACAUAAGAAUUACAACGAUAACAUUCUCAUCUCCAAAUAUCAGCUUAUUUUACAGAUGAAGAAACUGAAGCAAACAGGGUAAAAUGACUUGCUAGCAUCACACAGCCUGUAAGAGUCAAGCCAGAUUUGAUCUCAGGAAGAUGAGACUUCCUGACUCCAAGUUUGGCACUCUAUACACUGCACCACCUUGCUGCCCACUCUAUAAUUUUUUCUACCAUUUUUUUUCUUUUCGAGUACAAACUAGUUUUUAUAACUAUUGUUUAUGUAGGAAUGUUGAUAUCUGGUAAUGCUAGUCCACUUUCAUUUUGAAAAAAAGUUUUCCUCUUAUUUAUGAAUUUAUCCCUCCACCAAUACCCUAUUAAGGUAUCACUUUUAAGAAAGAUUAAAAAAGAUCAGCAAAAACAAUUAACACAUUGACUGUAUCUGAUAGUGUAUGCAGUGCUCCACAACUAUGGUUUCAUACCUUCGCAAAGAAGGGAGGUAGGCUUAUUCUUUUGUUUGAAAUCUAGGGCCAUGCCUGGGUAUUGGUUUACUUUUUGCGAGUUGUUAUCCCUCUUAAAAAUAUUUUUUUCUGGUUUUAUGAGAGUACUGAUGUUUUGAGAAUGCAUGAAACAUCUAAGUCAAUUUGGCAAGUAUUGACAAUUUUUGUUAUCUGAUUGACCUAAUCAUGCGCAGCGGAUGAACAUUUUCAUUCUUAAUUUGUUAAAAUCAGUUAGAAAUUAUUUAAGCCUAUUUGUCUUCAUAAAUUAACGUUCAGAUACUUAAUAUUUUGAUGUAAUUAGAAAGGCUAUUUCUCCAUCACUUUCCUUUGAUUCAUGAGAAUGAUUCUGUGAGAACAUCUCAUAUCUUGCUAUUUUAGCAGACAUUUAUUUUCUUUUUAUUUCUUAAGUUUUAAGGAUAAUCACAUUAUAUACAAAUGGAAAUAUUUUCACCUCUUUAUUUCCCAUGCUUAUUUUUCAUGUCUUAGUUACUAUUGCUAAGAUUUGUAAAAUUGCUAAUAGGAAAGCCAAAGUCUUGUUUAAUACCUAUAUGAGUAGGAAUGCUGCUAGAAUUUCUCCUUUAUAUGUACUAGCUUAUGGUUUUAAAUACUUUUACAAAUCAUAACAUGGGACCUUUUAUCCCUGUAUUUUCCCCAUUAAAAAUGUCUUUAAUCAAAAAUAUUUUCUCUACACUUAGUAAUAUAAUUGUAUAGUUGAUUUUCUCCACUUGUUGAGGAAAUGUUUUAUAAGAUUAUUUUCUUGGUGUCAUUCCAUCCUCAUAUGCUAUUUAUAAAUCUUUUUUUGCUAUCACUCCACCCCUGCAUGGUAUUUUAAAAUCUUUCUUCAACCUAAUAGCUGUUUGCAUUUAAAAUAUCUCCUGUUUUCACAGAGCACGUAUUCUGUGGGCUAAGGGUUCAAGGUCUAUAACUCAUUUUGUAAAGGUCUUUUUUUUCCCAAUUUAUGUUAUCCUCUUGUUCUCCUUGAAAUCUGGAGUGAUCCUAAUGUUUGUUUAUUGGUUAGUAAUUUUUUCACUUCUUGUAGCACACACUAGCAUUUCUAUUAUUGUAUUGUUGCACUUUAAAUAUGAGGAGCUUCUACCAGUGUUGAAUUUGGUGUUUUUCCUUCUGGACUGAUCAAUAAAUAUUUAUUGACUGAAAACACACAAAAAAAGUACCUUACCCUCAAGCUUACAUGCUUGUUGUAUCUUGUGGAUUACUUCUAAUUAUGUUUCAUUGGUUAUUUUCACCAGUUCUGGAAAAAAAAUUCAAUACUUCCCUGAAAGUGUUCAAAUUCUCUUGUUCUUCUAAGUUCUCCAGUGUUUACAAUCCUGACUACAGUAUUGUGAUUUAUUUUAUAGGUCCAUCACUUAGGUCUGUCUUUUCCAAAAGUUCGGAUAAUUCAACAUGUCCUUUUUGGAGGGAGCUUGUAUUCCCUGCUGCUCCACAACUGUACAUAAUUCUUUUUUCCAGAGUAGUGUGUACUAUCUCUUGCAUCUUUGGAUCUUGUAUUUUCUUUUGUAAUCUACCUACAUUAUUUUUUCUUAUUUUUGCAUCUCUUCUAACCUAAUUUUCUUGUACAAUCUGUUAGUACUGUAGCUAUUAUUUGACCUUGUAAUUUUCUAGGCAUUGCCAAUUUCACUUGGUUGUGUCUUUUAUCUAUGGGAAUUGAGUGGACCACACCAACUCCAUCUUGUGACUCAAUUCUUGAUCUAGCUCAGUUCCCUUUCUAUUCAAUUAUGGGUCUAGUCCAUUUGUGAAAAAACUUUAUUGCCCUGUUUGAACCUAGCCCAGUGUGGCUGGGAAGCUGAACUACCCCUACUUGUUGCUUAGAGACCCUUAACCAAGGACCUUGGUUAAGCUGACCAGAAAUCCAGUCAGAUCCAAAGAAUGAUCCAAGGAGUUUUCUCACAAUUAUACAUCUUAUUUGAAAACUGGCCCUGUACUGGUCAACCAGUUACUGUUUCACUGUUCCUUUUAUUGAAUACAGAUACUUGGGGGGAGUGGGACACCUCUUUUUUCCUAAUUUCAAGGAACUGCAACUGUUUACUUUCUCCCAACUUGGAAAGCCCCUAAUCUUUCCUUUAAUUAGAAAUCAGAUUACCCAAUCUUGUAUCCUGGUUUAUAUCUGGUUUUCUUUUAAUGCAUAAAAAUCUCUCUCUCCCUGUAUUUGGGGUCCAGUGCCAAGCUGAGGAGGUAUGGUCCCAAUUUGACAUGCAAUUAGCACGUGCUGCUUAAUAAAGCAAUAUGCUCAGAAGCUUGAACUUUGGUUUCCUCAGUUAUUUCAGAAUUCAUCUGUUACAUAUGCAAUGGGAGAACAAAUCCUUAACUGUUUUUUUUUCACAAUAUCUUUUUCCUUCUCUCAUAGUUUUUGGUAUUUUACCUGAUUCAAUUGUUAUUAUUAAGUAUUUUCAGUUGUAUCAGCCCUGUUAUUUUGUUCAUAUUAAAUUAUGGUUAGUUUUUUUUUUCUUAUGAUAGAGGAACCUGACUCCACUCAAUCCUCUCAAUUUAGACAUCUAGGUUUAAAUCUUUUCUGUCACUACCUAUGUGACCUUGGAAAAAUCAAACAGUAUAGGCUUGUUUCCUCAUUUGUAAAAUGGGGUUGGACAAUAUGGCUUCUGAGGUUCCUUGACAUUUUAAAUCUAUGAUGCUUGACAAUAAUUUUAUAAGCACACAUCCCACCUCACACUUUUUUAACUUUACUUCUAAAAAAAAGAUGGUCAACUCACUUAAAAACAAUUAAAACUAAUGAUCAACUUCCUAACUGUAUUUGUUAGUCAUGCCUACUAGUGUGGUAA